GACGAACGCUGGCGGCGUGCCUAAUACAUGCAAGUAGAACGCACAGUUUAUACCGUAGCUUGCUACACCAUAGACUGUGAGUUGCGAACGGGUGAGUAACGCGUAGGUAACCUGCCUGGUAGCGGGGGAUAACUAUUGGAAACGAUAGCUAAUACCGCAUAAUAUUAAUUAUUGCAUGAUAAUUAAUUGAAAGGUGCAAUUGCACCACUACCAGAUGGACCUGCGUUGUAUUAGCUAGUAGGUGAGGUAACGGCUCACCUAGGCGACGAUACAUAGCCGACCUGAGAGGGUGAUCGGCCACACUGGGACUGAGACACGGCCCAGACUCCUACGGGAGGCAGCAGUAGGGAAUCUUCGGCAAUGGACGAAAGUCUGACCGAGCAACGCCGCGUGAGUGAAGAAGGGUUUCGGAUCGUAAAGCUCUGUUGUAGGAGAAGAACGGGUGUGAGAGUGGAAAGUUCACACUGUGACGGUAGCUUACCAGAAAGAGACGGCUAACUACGUG
RNAcentral lists this ribosomal RNA (505 nucleotides) under uncultured bacterium. RNAcentral's name for it is "partial 16S ribosomal RNA". It matches the Rfam family "Bacterial small subunit ribosomal RNA", at positions 28 to 507 of the family's 1533-position model. The record is from RNAcentral.